AUUGAACGCUGGCGGCAUGCCUUACACAUGCAAGUCGAACGGGGGUAGCAAUACCCUAGUGGCGAACGGGUGAGUAAAGCAUCGGAACGUACCCAGUCGUGGGGGAUAACGUAGCGAAAGUUACGCUAAUACCGCAUACGAUCUGAGGAUGAAGGCAGGGGACUCGCAAGAGCCUUGCGCGAUUGGAGCGGCCGAUGUCGGAUUAGCUAGUUGGUGAGGUAUAAGCUCACCAAGGCGACGAUCCGUAGCUGGUCUGAGAGGAUGAUCAGCCACACUGGGACUGAGACACGGCCCAGACUCCUACGGGAGGCAGCAGUGGGGAAUUUUGGACAAUGGGGGAAACCCUGAUCCAGCCAUGCCGCGUGAGUGAAGAAGGCCUUCGGGUUGUAAAGCUCUUUCAGACGGAAAGAAAUGGUCUUGGCUAAUACCCGAGAUCGAUGACGGUACCGUAAGAAGAAGCACCGGCUAACUACGUGCCAGCAGCAGCCGCCG
Molecule: ribosomal RNA, 492 nt
Filed under: uncultured bacterium
Lineage: Bacteria
Description: partial 16S ribosomal RNA
Rfam family: Bacterial small subunit ribosomal RNA
Source: RNAcentral